GACGAACGCUGGCGGCGUGCCUAAUACAUGCAAGUCGAGCGAACGGACGAGAAGCUUGCUUCUCUGAUGUUAGCGGCGGACGGGUGAGUAACACGUGGAUAACCUACCUAUAAGACUGGGAUAACUUCGGGAAACCGGAGCUAAUACCGGAUAAUAUUUUGAACCGCAUGGUUCAAAAGUGAAAGACGGUCUUGCUGUCACUUAUAGAUGGAUCCGCGCUGCAUUAGCUAGUUGGUAAGGUAACGGCUUACCAAGGCAACGAUGCAUAGCCGACCUGAGAGGGUGAUCGGCCACACUGGAACUGAGACACGGUCCAGACUCCUACGGGAGGCAGCAGUAGGGAAUCUUCCGCAAUGGGCGAAAGCCUGACGGAGCAACGCCGCGUGAGUGAUGAAGGUCUUCGGAUCGUAAAACUCUGUUAUUAGGGAAGAACAUAUGUGUAAGUAACUGUGCACAUCUUGACGGUACCUAAUCAGAAAGCCACGGCUAACUACGUGCCAGCAGCCGCGGUAAUACGUAGGUGGCAAGCGUUAUCCGGAAUUAUUGGGCGUAAAGCGCGCGUAGGCGGUUUUUUAAGUCUGAUGUGAAAGCCCACGGCUCAACCGUGGAGGGUCAUUGGAAACUGGAAAACUUGAGUGCAGAAGAGGAAAGUGGAAUUCCAUGUGUAGCGGUGAAAUGCGCAGAGAUAUGGAGGAACACCAGUGGCGAAGGCGACUUUCUGGUCUGUAACUGACGCUGAUGUGCGAAAGCGUGGGGAUCAAACAGGAUUAGAUACCCUGGUAGUCCACGCCGUAAACGAUGAGUGCUAAGUGUUAGGGGGUUUCCGCCCCUUAGUGCUGCAGCUAACGCAUUAAGCACUCCGCCUGGGGAGUACGACCGCAAGGUUGAAACUCAAAGGAAUUGACGGGGACCCGCACAAGCGGUGGAGCAUGUGGUUUAAUUCGAAGCAACGCGAAGAACCUUACCAAAUCUUGACAUCCUUUGACAACUCUAGAGAUAGAGCCUUCCCCUUCGGGGGACAAGGUGACAGGUGGUGCAUGGUUGUCGUCAGCUCGUGUCGUGAGAUGUUGGGUUAAGUCCCGCAACGAGCGCAACCCUUAAGCUUAGUUGCCAUCAUUAAGUUGGGCACUCUAAGUUGACUGCCGGUGACAAACCGGAGGAAGGUGGGGAUGACGUCAAAUCAUCAUGCCCCUUAUGAUUUGGGCUACACACGUGCUACAAUGGACAAUACAAAGGGCAGCGAAACCGCGAGGUCAAGCAAAUCCCAUAAAGUUGUUCUCAGUUCGGAUUGUAGUCUGCAACUCGACUACAUGAAGCUGGAAUCGCUAGUAAUCGUAGAUCAGCAUGCUACGGUGAAUACGUUCCCGGGUCU
Molecule: ribosomal RNA, 1372 nt
Filed under: uncultured bacterium
Lineage: Bacteria
Description: bacterial SSU rRNA
Rfam family: Bacterial small subunit ribosomal RNA
Source: RNAcentral